Molecule: ribosomal RNA, 252 nt
Filed under: uncultured bacterium
Lineage: Bacteria
Description: partial 16S ribosomal RNA
Rfam family: Bacterial small subunit ribosomal RNA
Source: RNAcentral
UACGUAGGUCCCGAGCGUUGUCCGGAUUUAUUGGGCGUAAAGCGAGCGCAGGUGGUUUAUUAAGUCUGGUGUAAAAGGCAGUAGCUCAACCAUUGUAUGCAUUGGAAACUGGUAGACUUGAGUGCAGGAGAGGAGAGUGGAAUUCCAUGUGUAGCGGUGAAAUGCGUAGAUAUAUGGAGGAACACCGGUGGCGAAAGCGGCUCUCUGGCCUGUAACUGACACUGAGGCUCGAAAGCGUGGGUAGCAAACAGG